GCGGUACUCCAUAUCGACCUAGAGGAGCCUGUCCUAUAAUCGAUAAUCCACGUUUUACCUCACCACCCCUUGCAAUUCAGCCUAUAUACCGCCGUCGUCAGCCUACCUUAUGAAAGAAACAAAGUAGACAAAACAGUUAAUAACUAAAACGUCAGGUCAAGGUGUAGCACAUGGAGUGGAAGAGAUGGGCUACACUUUCUACCACAGAAUACACGGACAGCACAAUGAAACUUGUGCUAAAAGGUGGAUUUAGCAGUAAGGAAAACAAGAAACUUUGCCUGAAACUCGCUCUGGAGUGCGCACACACCGCCCGUCACCCUCAUCACAAUAACCUAAACCUAAAAAUAUAAAGACUCUAUAAAACAGAUGAGGAAAGUCGUAACAUGGUAAGCGCACCGGAAGGCGCGCUUGGAAUAACAAAAAGUAGCUUAACACAAAGCAUUCAGCUUACAAUUGAAAUAUGUUAGUGAAAUCCUAACCUUUUUGA
This 487-nucleotide ribosomal RNA is filed under the name Trachylepis capensis (Cape three-lined skink). RNAcentral's name for it is "partial 12S ribosomal RNA". The stretch from base 1 to 424 matches the Rfam family "Bacterial small subunit ribosomal RNA", at positions 913 to 1533 of the family's 1533-position model. Lineage: Eukaryota; Metazoa; Chordata; Lepidosauria; Squamata; Scincidae. The record is from RNAcentral.